This is a long non-coding RNA of Aegilops tauschii subsp. strangulata, 1380 nucleotides long. RefSeq lists it as uncharacterized. Lineage: Eukaryota; Viridiplantae; Streptophyta; Magnoliopsida; Poales; Poaceae. The record is from RefSeq and is a predicted model, not a curated record.
UGGCUCCUUCUUCCUCUUCCAUCCCAGUGGCGAGCGCCCGCCGCCGCCGCCACUCCACUAGCCACUCAUCCGAGCUCUCCUCCCCAUCCCUCCCAGUGCCUUGACCUGCACCUGUGCCGCGGCCGCUAAAAAAACGCACACGCACGCACCUGUGUCACCACCGUCCAGCACACAUCCUCUCGCGGACGCGGCCACCGGCCUCCCCACGACUAACCACCAACUGCCUACCCUGCGGCUCGGGCGCCUCCCACCACGCCCCUCCUCUCCAACCACAGGUGCCAUCCCACGAUCCAAAGUUUCCCUCGCCGUCAGCUCCGGACGGAGCCGCCGCCAUGGGUGGGCAUCUCCUUCUAUAAGAUCCUCCUAUCUCGACAGUUUCGAUCCAUUUUUACACGCCCGUCUUUCAUGGAUUCGUGGUCACAAGCGCGAGCUGUGGAGGACGAAGCAAUCGAGCAUGACGAAGUUUGUGUAGCGGCUGGCUCGUGCACUUUCUUGGCUUCGGGGUAAAGCAGUCUAAAGUUUAUCAACCAGGUGGUGAUGAUUGCAGAAUUCCGGUCCUUGAGUGUGUCUACAAGUGGAUUCAGGUCCUGGAAAGAUUGGGAGUGAUCUUAGUGCCAGAAAGUAACAGCCUUAGGGGUGCAGGGUGGACCAGUGGAGCAGUUUGUAAACAGUAAGCCCCUUCCAGUGAAAUUGAUAGCUUCGUGGCCAGCAAGUUUUUCUUGUGAUGGUAGGACUGAUUGCUCUACCUACACAUACCAUUUUUGAUACAAUAUUAGAUCUUAUUCCAUCUACAUUGUUCUCUAUUUCCAGAAGGGUGUAUGAUGCGGUGUUUCCUUCAUAUGAAAUCAUUUGUAGUUUGCACAAACUUAACUUGCAUUUACUUAUUCUUAAAUUUUUAUUAUGUGUACCUGAUGUCUUUUGCACAUUUUGAUUAUUUGAUUUUGAGAGAUUCUCAAGGUUAGUAUAGCCAUUACUGAUGCAGUGAUGUGGACUUUGUAGCUUCUUGGGAUUUUCUCAGCUAGUCGCCCGGGUCAUGUGACAUUGUGGCACUUGUGCGAGUAGGGGCUGCUACUUAUUUCAGUUGCUUGUGAAGAUUUGAGGAGGCACCAAGUUUGAUUUUUUUAUACUGGCUACUGUAUACAUAAUCAAUGUUGCAUUAUGGCCAUUUUGUUCCAUUAUUGAUUUCAAACGAAUAUUUUGAUGCUAACACACACACUCAUCCCCCUGGCUGUCACCAUUGUAGCUAUAUAGAUGGUCUAGCUAAGGUUUUUGGUUCCUAUUUACCAGUGAUGUUUGGUAUGAACAGUGACGGAGCGUGAUGAGAAACUAGGGGGUGGAAAUUUUCAAACUAAAUGAGAAAUAUGCAUGAAAAGUGAAAAA